GGCAAAUCAACAGAACAAAACAGUUCCAAACCAAGCUUGUCAAGAAUUUUAAAUGUUUCGUACGCAUGCUCCUAACACUAUCCCAAGGCUGAGCAGAAAGUGUGUGAUCCUCUUCUUACCACUGGAUCCCUAGCAAGCCGCACAUUAUAGGCUGAACGGGAAGUACGUGAACAUUCAUAAGAAAAAAUANNNNNNNNNNNNNNNNNNNNGUAUUAAUAGUAAAUCAUAAAGAAACAAAUCCAGAACAAUAAGAAUCGGCAGAUAAAAAAUGAAAUGAAAAUAAUUUGCAUUCCAAGUAGAGGUUCCAAAAUAAACCUGAGGCUUGAUACUGCUCAAAUGUUAUUGUUUCAAAACACACCGCACUACAGAAAACAAUGUCAUUUUUCAAUUAACAUGUAUCAAACCUCACAAUCAAAAGACCAGAAAAAAAGAACCAGAAUACAAAGUCAGAAGAUCAAACAAGAGAAAGAAAAUUAUAACACCAGAUGAACUAAUAUCAAGAAAACAUGCUUCAAAAUGAAAUAUGCNNNNNNNNCAUUCUAAUCUCAAAAAUAAAAAUAAUAGAGAAUGACUCAUCAAAGAAAUUUGAUCUAUGUAUGUAGCCAUUAUCAUUCUUAUAUUAUCAUCAAGAAUUGCAAAUUGUUCCAGAUAUCCAAAAAUCAGAAACAAGCUCAUUGCAAAACUGGAUCAACGAAUAUCUCAAUAUUCUUUUUAUUUUUAACAGCGAUAGAAAAUUUAUUGAAUGACAAAUUAUAUCAUAAAGAGUACACAUAUAAUCAAUUGAGAACUAGAAGAGCAGCUAUUAAUUAAAACCCAACCAAUCCAUAGUAGGCGCAAAACAUUAAAAUAUGAACCAAAUCAAACCUCAACAUCAGUGAGCCUCUGUCUGCCAUGCCAUGGGUUCCAUAGUGAAGCACAUAUUUAUAGGCUCUCUCCCCUGCAACACCCAUAAAGAAA
Molecule: long non-coding RNA, 957 nt
Filed under: Trifolium pratense (red clover)
Lineage: Eukaryota; Viridiplantae; Streptophyta; Magnoliopsida; Fabales; Fabaceae
Description: long non-coding RNA (TPRA_LNC012514)
Source: RNAcentral